Oncorhynchus kisutch (coho salmon) is the source of this 13754-nucleotide RNA transcript. RefSeq lists it as uncharacterized. The record is from RefSeq and is a predicted model, not a curated record. NCBI's taxonomy places the organism in Eukaryota, Metazoa, Chordata, Actinopteri, Salmoniformes, Salmonidae. The transcript is spliced from 5 exons.
UCUGAUGUAGUACAAAAUGUAAUGUAUCAGCCUUUGAGCAUAUUCAAAUUAAUGAGCAUGUAAAGCGAUCAAAAGGACAUGUAGAUAUUUAGAAUACUAAAAUUACAACGCUUGACCGAUUUGCCAAGUUAAGACAGGAAUUAUCAUGCUUUGCUUGUUCGUUUUAAAGUUCCCAGACCUCAGUGAAAGUCCACCUGGGAAUGACAGAGGACAGAAUCAUCAAAAGUGUCCAGGAGCAACUGUCUGAUCAUAAUAUCCUGUCCUCUUGCCCACCUGAGCUGACUGUUGGUCUUAUCAAGGUGGUGGUCGAACAGCUUAACUCUGCCCUCUCUGCGACCAUCAGCAGAGCCAUUUCAGGGCGGUCCUCCCCUAUUUCUUCUGGUACCCAGGCCGCUGAACAAAUGGUCAACAUGGUCCAGAAAUGUUUUGAUGAUCACACCACCCCAGAGGACCAGAGCUCUACCUCUGUAUUAGAGUCAUGCAUUCCACCUGCAACAGAAGAAGUGAUGACUGUUAUCGCAGAGAUGGUGGGUGAAUUGGAAAAAGAAGAUCCGGAAUUGGCUAAGGUUUUUCGAGAAGUGGCUGUGAAAGUUAAAAUGUUGGCAUCUGGCAGUGACCUUGUAGUGGAGCACCUGGAUGUUGAAGACUCUCCUGUUCCAGAGGAGCUGAACAUAAUAUGUACAUCUUGCAAAGCAAUGAUGCAAAAUCUUGGCACUCUGUUUAGUGUGAAGUUCAAGACCAAAGCCUCAAAGGCUGUGAGUGAAAUUCUUGUGAGAAGGUUAAUGAGCGAUAUCUCUGGUAUGGUUCAACCUUCUCAUUCGUUUAGUACCACUCCAAGCUUGAUGAAUGCAUCUAGCCCUUCUGACAGGAUCCUUGAUUCUGCGGCCACUGAGCUCAUACAGAUCAAAGUAGAAUCUGAGACAUCAAAAAUAAUUGAUAACUUUGUUGAAGAUGUCAAGGACAUUGUGCAGUAUGCUGAAUUAGAUCAGCCAACAAGCACCCAGAGAGAUACCCAAGUGGGACACUGUACGACAAAGCGGAAACCCUUCCGUGCAGCUCGUAGACUCUGCGAGAGACUUCAGGCAAAGCUGGAGACAUUGUUCCUCAGAAUGGGUGGAGCUCCAGUCCAAGGGGAAGAACUUAUGGAAAAAGCUGACUCCAGUGCUGUGCUUCUGGAGCAUACUGACUCCAGUGAUCUGCCUGUUUCAAUCCUGAGCUUGCCUUCCCCAUGUAGGAGUGAAUCCCCUAUAUCAGAAUGUAGUUCAUCUUCUUUAUCUGAUGGAUGUGAUUCAACUGGCUCUGUAGGAGAGAAAACACCAGAGCAACCUGAAACCAGUAAGAGUGAGGCAAUACUGCAAGUGGUCAACUCAACAGGACUUGGUUCUCUCCGUAAAUGCCAAAGUGAGAACUCUCAACCAUUACUGUCUCUCUGUGAUUCCAACAUGGUGCCCUGCACCAAAGAGGUCUUGUCCCAGAUUGUGACCAUGUAUAGGUCAGAGGUGGCAGAUUUGGAAUGCACAUCAUCUGUUGCAGAGGGUUCCUCUUCCAACUCCCUUGAAGUCUGUGGCUUUUUGGACAGUGUCAUGUCUUAUCUAGAAGACAUGCCUGUGUCUGGUUCUUCAUGGGUGGAAGGAUUGAGAGAUACUCCAGCCUCAGUCAUUGAGAAACUCUCCAGUGAGGAGUUCCAGAUGAACGCUACCAACGAAGUGCGAAAAAUACUGAUCAAAUCAGUCAGUAGCUCUCCCAGCAAAGUCAGUUCCAGCCAGACAGAUUCUCAGAUGUUGCCAGCAAAAUCAACAAUUUCCUUAAGGCAUACAGAUAUAACUGCUUUUGAAAUCGUUGGAUCAAUUACAAAUGACAUGAAGAGCCUUUUCCCACCCACAGAGUCUUCUACUACUCUAUGGCAGGCAGACUCUAUGCUUCAACAGAGUGAUGAGAAAACCUCAGAGUACACUGAGGCCACACCCAAAGGCUCACAGUCUGGUUUGGAAGUAUCUGAGAAGAAGAUCUGGACAACUGCAAAGACUAUUUACCACAAUGUGAAGACAAAGAUGAGGAAUUAUUUUACAUGGCAAAAUCAAGUCAAAGCAACAACGGCUCAAGCCAAAAAGACCCUCAGCCAUAUUCUGGUUUCAAUUCAGAAAGAGCUGUCAAAAUCUGACCAAACGGUGACUGCGCUUUCACAAAUAGAGAAUGUGGUUGGAAUGAUGCUGAAGGAUGUUGAAAGGGUAAGCAGUGAAUGUGGUGAGGAACUGAUCUAUCAAGCGCCACAGCGUUCUUCCUCCUCGUUGUCAUCCUCAUCUGCCAGAUCAAAGAAGUCAGAGUGGGAAUUUUCACUCCCUGGCACUCCCAUCUCUUCUGAUUUACCAGAGUGUAUUACUCAGCCCAUUGUGAGAUGCUCAGUCAUCGACAUGGGCAAAUCUACUAAGCCAAAAACAUUGGUGUGUGAUGCCAGGGAAAGCAUGUCUGCAAUAGUGGAUACCAUCAUAAAGGAGGUACAUCCAGAGGAAGAAGGGGAGGUUGCAUUCCACCCUGAUCUAACAGUUGCAAUAGCAAGACUGGAGGAGCUCAUAUCUCAGGGUAGGAUUGGUGCUCUCUCACGUGAUCUUACUCACCAAGUCAACCGCAUCAUUUCUGAGAGCAACUUGACCCCUCUGGUUCUGACAGUGGCGGCUGGAAAGAGUGCAUCCGAUACAGUCCUUACUGAGCUGAAGAGGAAUGACAAGACGGUGGGGAAGCCCACAGCUUACAAGCUGGUUCAGCUUUUUGCAGAGGAGUCUGUGAAGCGCCUCUUGCUUCCUAGCCUUGUGCCCUCUACAGCUUCAAUGAGUUUGGCUCAGGGAGUUAGUGUGCCGGCUAGCGUAUCUGAAGAUAGGAUUUCAUGUUCUUUUUCUACAUCAGCAUUUAGUGACACAGUCAGCCUGUUUACCAAAGUAAUGGUAAGCCAGGUCAUGGACUCUGUGGUUUCUGAUGCACAAAGCAGAGGGUCAUCUCCAACCGGAACUGUAACUGAUAUAGGCAGUCUACUGAGUGGUAAGUCCUACCCUCUGCCAUCUUUCUCCGCCAUCAGCAUGACAACAAGUGGGACCUCCAAUGCUGCACGAGGCUUUGAGGCCAACAUAGAUGCUGAGGAAAGGGAUACCAUCAGUUGUUUCGGUGUACCUCAGAGCAUUGUUUGUGAUCAGAAUUCAACCAGCCCGGAUGUUGCCUCGCUUUCAACCCCAUCCACUGACAACUUAGUCGGUGAUGAUGACUUCACCGGCCUCAUCAGCAUGUUAGUGGUGAGACUUCUGUCAAAAAUCCAAACCCAAACUGAUCUGUACCCAACUGACGUCACACGCACGUCACAAGACCUGAUUCCAAAAGUUAUAGCUGCCUUCUGUGCAUGGUCAGGCUGCUCUGAGACCCAAGCUUAUCCCAAGAACCUGAAGAGUCACAAAGUAUACAGCACCGUCUACAAACAUCUGUUGAAGGAGUUUGGCUCAGAGAAAAUACUCCAACUGGCCGUGUCGACUCAGGACUCCACAUUCAAUAGGAUUCUUGUGAAGUCAUUGAGCAAGGAGCUUCUCCACAGUUGUAACGAGGCAUCAAGAGCAGCCUCAAGAACAUCUUUCGAAGCCACCAGGCCAGAAGCUCUUCUCAUGGCUGAAGAUGUGAAGGCUACCAGAGGGAAGCUGUCUUUCCUACAAAGGCUUGCCAGACUGAAAUUCGACUUAAAGCCAUUCAUGAUGGGAAACAAGAAGGAUUCCAAGAAGAAUUCCCGCCAUUCUGAAUCCAAAGACCAGACUACUGCUGAAGAUAUCAUAUUGGCACAUCCUGGACUCCCAGAGGGUCUUCCCUCCACCUCUCAACAGGAGAAGCCUCGCAAACGUCCCCUUCUAAUCAGGAUGUUUUCCACCAUCUCCAUAGGCCUAUCCAAGCCAUUCAAACGGUUUUCAAAGCAAGCUUAAUACAACAAUUUCCUUUAAUACAGUAAUAUUUGCAUUGAAUUGAUGGCCUUUGUCUUCUUUUGUGUUGCCCUGUUAACACAUUUGAUUAGAAAAUACAUAGUAUAUUUAGUUUAGUUUAUUAUGCAGUCAUAGUCACGGUGUAGGCUAAACAAAGUAAUGUUGUCCUGAAUAAUGUAUAUAACAUGCACCCCCCACCCACCCACCCACACAAAGUGUGAUUCAUUGAACACACACACAUAGUACUUCAGAUAUGUCCCACAACCAACAUUCAACCAGAUAUCAAUGAUUCAGUGUAAAAUACAUGUACUGUAAAAUAAACCGUAUUUAAUUUACAACCAAUAAAAUUAUACAUGAUGCAGGACACUCAGUUAUAAGGGAAUUAAUUGGUUUAACUUCUCAAACAGAAAGACACACUGUAACUGACAGUUAGACUUACAGGUUAUGUCGUUGUCUUUUGUUUGAAUUGUUUACGUAUCCGCUGUGCGGGGGAAAUGAUAAUACAAUCGGAACUACGUAGCCAAUACUGUUGUAACGGGGAUCCUUAUUGUAGCAACACACUUUUGGAGGGAAGGAAAUCCUGCGCUGCGUUAGCUAAGUUUUCAUGUCAUCGGGUGUAGUUCAUAAAGGUUGAAGAGUGUAUGUUAGGAUGAAGUGUGAAUUCAUGCCAGGAAUAAUAAGUGUGAAGUUUGAUUUCCUCCCUUCUGUAAUAAGCAGCCAAUGAGGUAUUUUUUCCUUUAUUCAUGUGUUUAAUCUGAACCCGUAAUAACGCCGGUUAAACUGUUAUGUAUGUAAGCACUUCAGAGUUAUACCAAGCUAAUAAGUCACUCGUAAGAUAAGGUUGUAAGAGUGUGCUUAACUGUAUUUUUAAUUUACUUUAUAAUUCUCACGGAAGGUGAUAAUUCUGACUAAAACUACAGAAUAAAGCCGCCAGUUAAAAUCAAGGAACGGUUGUGCUCGUGGUUACUGAAGGGAGCUACAGUGAGAACUCAAUGCUCUUCACGAGCAAGAGAGAAAGAAGAAUCUCAUCCAGCUGUAAAACGUCUACAUGAUUCCCAAAUCCUGGUAGACCCAGUCAUCUGCCAGAUAAGAGUUUUGCACCUACCUGCAAACUAAGAAGAAAAUCUCCACAUAAGGAAGCAUCGUGAGGCAACAUAAGGUCAAGACUAACAGGAAAGUCAGACACGCAAGUACAAGUCAAGGUGUUUGGAGGUGGUCCUAGCCUUGUGAACAGCUAAUAAGAGACUUUAAGAUUACAAUUCGUAAGGACUGGAGAUAGUUGUCUAUUUCAUAAAGACUCUGGUAUUAUGCAUUUGCUCUUUCUAUCUUAAUGUAUCGCUGGUAUGUGUAUUACUGGAAAAAUAUUAUUUGAUACUUACUAAAAAUAUAUAUAUAGUUACAAACAUUAAGGGUCAGCGUACACCUAUUAAUUCUAUUUUCACCUGUAAGUUAAUAGUGUAAUUGUUUGGGAAGGUGUUUGUUCAAGCCUUUGUUACAAGCAUUAUACAUGUUUAUACCACGUACUAAGGUUUAAAUUACAGUGAAUUGGAGUAUAAAUUAUCUACUCACUUAUCCAAACCUUACCUAGAUUUGAUUUGAUUUGAUUUAAAAUGUCAGAAAGAGGUAGUUUCACUAAAGUUGAUAGAGAUGGGGUGGGUCAAGUUGAGCAGCAGCUGCAACACCUCGCAAACUUCAGGCCUUCAUCAGAACAAACAGAGCAGCAGGAAGAGACCCAGACUGGUGUGGAGUCAUGGCUGCCAGCGAAUGAUGAUACAGAGGCUGCUAAUGAGACAUCACAACAUGAGCCACGAAAAGGUGAGAGGGUCCGCAGGUUAACUGAAAAGGGCAGAGAACUGCGCAACGAAAGGUGGAGACAGCUCAAACAUCAUUUCAGGGUCAGCUAUGAGAAGUGGAAGGCUCUGGUAAAGGAAGCAAAACUGUCACUGACAGCCUGUUGCUCUGAAGAUCUACUAGAAGACCUCUUAAACAAGAUUAGCCAUACCUCUACAGAGCUAAACCUUGUCUAUGUAAAUGUGCGUCAAAUCUACAUACCCGACAACAAUAUACGCCGCAGAGUUGAUACUUGUGAAGCAGUUACAAUGUCUAUUAUCAAGACUGUAAGGUGUCAUUUAAAAGGCAGGGAAGAAGGUCAAAGUAACCAGAUAAAGCUGCACUGGAAGGACAGCAAUUCCUUGUGCAUGUCCGAACUCUCACAUAAGUCAAGUCUCAACUAUCAGCCCUCAAGUGCUUCCUCCCAGUCUCAAAGCAAUUCAAAGGUCAACUCCAGAUGCUCAAGCGUGUCAUCUGUCAAGAGACAAGAGGCUGCGGCGGAAGUUGCUGCUAACCAAGCAGCUUUAGAAGUAAUGGUUAAGCAAGAACGCCAACUAGAAGAGCUUCAGAGACUUGAAGAUGAAGAUAAGAAGAGGACAGCUGAGCAAGAAGCCGAGGCUGUGAAACGCAGCUUAGAAGAAGCUAGGCUGCGAGUCAAGUUAGAGGUAGAAAAUGCUGCCAGACGAAGGACGCUAGAAGACAAGCAUAGAGAGUUAGAGCGCCUAGAAGUGCUCAAGAAACUAAAUGCUGCCAAGGCGCGGAUGCAAGUGUAUGAGCAAGAUGAAAACUCAGAGGACGAGAAGAGAGAACUACUCUCUAACUGCAAAUCUGUGAAAGAAAUCGUGCACAGAAGUGGCUCAUUUCACAGUCUCUCACCACAACAUGUUGUGACAAACACACAACAAGAAGAUGGCACCAAGACCAUGUUCAGGUUACUAGCGGAAUCAAUCAGUGAAAGCCGCCUCCCCAUACCAGAACCAGUAACAUUCAAUGGAGAGCCUCUCUCAUACACUGACUGGAUGGUCUCUUUUCAGACUCUGAUAGACAGGAAGAACAUACCAGCAACUGAGAAGAUAUAUUACUUAAGAAAAUAUGUCGGUGGGCCUGCCAAGAAAGCCAUCGAAAGUUACUUUAUGUUAGGAACAGAAUCAGCCUACCAUGCUGCUUGGACCAUUCUUGAAGAAAGGUACGGAAACAAAUUCUUCAUCGCCAAGUCUUUCAGAGAUAAGCUCAAUGCAUGGCCUACGAUAGGAUCCAAGGACAGUCUUGAACUUAGAGACCUUGUAGACUUUCUUCGCAGCUGUGAAGCUGCUAUGUCUCAGAAUAAGGGCCUGGAGGUGCUUAAUGACUGUAAUGAAAACCAAAAGAUCCUCACUAAAAACUUCCAGAUUGGCUAACUUCAAGAUGGAAUAGAAAGGUCACAGACAUCUUAGAAGAAACUGAGAUCUUUCCUAGCUUCAGUCAGUUUGUGAAGUUUCUCACGAGAGAAGCCAAGAUUGCUUGCAAUCCUGUAACAUCCCUUCAUGCUUUGAAACCAAGUGAAGAUGGAAAACUUAAGACGCCAAGGAUUCAAAGCCCCGGAGCAAGGGUAUUAGCAACUAACUCUGAUGAGAAAGAUACUGUUACUAGUUGUGUCUUCUGUGAGAAGUCAGGUCACAGUCUCCACAAAUGCUGGAAGUUCAUGGAUAAGCCCACCGCAGAGCGACAGAACUCUGUUCAAGAGAAUAAAUUGUGCUUUGGCUGUUUAAGGCCUGGGCAUCGCUCGAAAGAUUGUGAUAACAGGAACACCUGCGACACGUGUCAGAGGAGGCAUCCAUCCUGCCUGCACGAAGAUCGUACUGAAGAAAGGUUCAGGGAUAGGAAGACAGAGCCCCCACGAGAUAAGGGGACAAGAGCGUCAAGUGAGGCCAUAUCUAACAGAGUCGUAAGGGACAUUAACAACACUCACACCUCCACAAUCAUUCCAGUAUGGGUGUCAACCACAAGUGAGCCAGAUCGUGAAGUUCUUGUGUAUGCACUUCUUGACACCCAGAGCGACACCACCUUUAUCCUUGAAGAGACAACAAAGGCUCUCAAUACAAGGAAGGAGCCAGUCCAACUGAAACUCUCUACAAUGGCUUCAAGGAAUACCAUUGUGCCCUGCCAGAAGCUGUCUGGUUUGCAGGUUAGAGGGUUUUACUUGGAGAAGAAAAUCCCUCUGCCAACGACCUACUCGAGAGAGUUUAUUCCUGCAAACAGAGAUCAUAUUCCUACUCCAGAGACUGCAAGAGCAUGGUCUCAUCUUGAACACAUUGCAGAGGAGAUUGCUCCUCAACAGAGCUGUGAUGUCGGUCUCUUAAUUGGCUACAACUGCUCCCAGGCUCUCCUUCCAAGAGAAAUUGUGUCUGGUAAGGGAAAUCAGCCUUUUGCUCAGAGAACAGAUCUUGGCUGGAGCAUAGUCGGCUAUGGAAAUCCAUGUAUCGACUAUGGCGACGCUAUUGGAGUGAGUCAUCGGGUUAUCGUUAGACAGGUGAUGCCAAGCCUUCAAUCUUCUUUCAACCUCACAAAUCAAGUACACUAUGUUUGUAGAACACGUGUAAGAGAGGUAAUCACAGCACUGGACAUUAUCAAGACGCUUGAAUCUGACUUCAACAAGAGAGCUGCAGAAGAGGACCUCAUAUCUCAAGAGGAUAUCCGGUUCCUGACGAAAAUGAAAGUGGGCAUCAGACGCAAGGACAAUGGACAUUAUGAGAUGCCGCUGCCGUUUAAGGAAGAAAGACCCAACCUGCCGAACAAUAAAACAUGUGCAGUUCACCGUCUCAAGUGCCUGGAAAGGAGGCUAAGGAGAGACAAGCAGUACUACAAGGACUACACAGCAUUCAUGGAAGAGACCAUAGCUUGUGGAGAUGCUGAGAAGGUCUCCAAAGAGGAAGUUAACCAGCAUCCAGCAUGGUACAUCCCGCACCAUGGGGUUUAUCACCCACAAAAGCCUGGGAAGAUACGCGUCGUCUGCGACUGCUCAGCUAAGUUUCGAGAGACGUCCUUGAAUGACCAUCUCCUUACUGGUCCAGAGUUGACAAACACAUUGCUGGGUGUCCUUUGUCGUUUUUGUAAGGGUCCAGUUGCAAUCAUGUGUGACGUAGAGCGCAUGUUCCACCAGUUUCAUGGGAAAGCAGAAGACCAAGAUUAUCUACGGUUCCUUUGGUGGGAGAACGGAGAUCUAGAGUCUCAACCCUCAGUGUAUCGUAUGAAGGCCCACUUGUUCGGCGCAGCUUCAUCUCCUGGUUGCGCCAACUAUGGUCUCAAACAUCUUGCUGCCGAAGGACGAGGAAGCUUCAGCGAGAAGUCUAUCCAGUUCAUAGAAAGGAACUUUUAUGUUGAUGAUGGGUUGACGAGCGUAUCGUCUGAAGCUGAGGCGGCCCAGCUGGUGAAAGAAGCAAGAGAGCUUUGCAGCAUCGGCAAACUUCGGUUGCACAAGUUUAUCUCUAACAGCAAGGAAGUUAUAGCCACAGUUCCCAAGGAAGAAUGUGCCGAGGGUGCCAAAGACCUGGAUAUGGCUCUGGGUGAACCACACAUGGAGAGAGCGCUUGGUGUACUGUGGUGUGUCGCAUCAGACGAGUUCCAGUUUAGAGUAGUUGUCAAGGAACGCUCACUCACAAGAAGAGGAGUGUUGUCUACUGUAGCCUCUGUAUAUGAUCCGCUUGGGUUUGUGGCAACCUUUGUCCUGGCAGGGAAGCAGAUCUUGCAGCGGAUGUGUCGUGACAAAAUCGACUGGGAUGACCCCCUUCCAGAUGACCUACAUUCCCAGUGGGAAUUCUGGCUCCAAGGUCUACAAAACUUGUCUGAAGUAAUGAUCCAACGAGGUUACUUGCCAUCAAGUUUCAAGGAGGUGCAGAGUUAUGAGCUCCAUCACUUCUCCGACGCUAGUACCUCAUGUUAUGGAGAGUGCUCAUACCUCAGAACAAUCAACACUGACAGAAAUGGAAUAAAGACAGAAGAAACGCAAGGAUUAAUGACAUUGUCAUUUUGCAAGAUGAUACUGCACCACGCAACCAGUGGAAAUUGGCAAAGGUUACAGAAGUAUACCCGGGACAGGAUGGUCGGGUGAGAAGAUUCAAGUUACUGAUCAGCGACUCAACCCUAGAUGAGAGAGGUAAACGCAUCACCAAACCCACCUAUCUGGAGAGGCCCAUCCAUAAGACAGUCACCCUCCUGGAAGCCGAUUAAGAAACCUGCAGACCCCUUUCACAGAAAUCACCGGUGAUUGGUGGGAGUGUAACUGACAGUUAGACUUACAGGUUAUGUCGUUGUCUUUUGUUUGAAUUGUUUACGUAUCCGCUGUGUGGGGGAAAUUAUAAUACAAUCGGAACUACGUAGCUAAUACUGAUUUCCUCCCUUCUGUAAUAAGCAGCCAAUGAGCUUUUACCUUCGACAUCAACAAGCGGCGCACGGGCUGGUCCUGCAGACUCCCACGCCCAUGGCCCAGGAGAAGGCAGGGGGCCACCUGCUCACUCACGUCCCAGCCAUCUCCUUUGAGACCGACUCUACUGUGGAGUGCACCUCCAAGAGGACUCCGGAAGAGGGACCGGGUGAAGGUUAAACUGGCCAACAUGGCCUUGAUGGGAAGGAUCAAAAAGUCUUGGCUGUGAAAUGCCCAUUAUGUGUGAUUAUCGAAUUUAUCAUUUUCCACUUUUGAAACAACAAUGGGAAAGACAGGGUUUAUAGCAAAGGUUGCUCAGAUUGGGCUUUUGGAAAAAUUGGGAGAAUGAAAGUGCACUCCUGAUUCAGAGAGAAAGAUCCAGCUUAAUCAUCCAUACCAUUGUUUAAAUUACAAUUUAAAAAACAUUCAAACUGUUCCUGAGUUUCGAAAGACAGAGAAAGGAAAACAUCCUUAUCUUCAGGCUGUUCACACCUGUUCACACAAGUCCUACUGUCCACAAUCUCAGGGUUCUUCAAUACAAACACACCUGUUUCAGAAAACCUGAUCACUUUCACAUUCGAACAAUGUUUGUAGGAUACUUUUCAAUAACUCAAUAAAUGUAAGUGUUGAAACCAUACAUAGCUGGUAACUUGAGCUGGACAGAGUACUUGAGCUCGACAGAGUAGUUUUGACCUGUGUCCAGGUCAGUAUUGGAAUAGUGACUUGUAUUUUGCAUCUAGAAGUGUAAGAAUUUUAGAAGAAUGCUAUUUCAUCAGUCAAAUGUUGCACUGUUUGAUAAGACAGUGUAAAGAAAACCUCCAUUUUAAUGAGUUUAGUUGUGAGUUUGACAUUUUACCACAAGAAGUUACUAUAAUACUAUACGUUAUCAAACAGGGUUGUGCUGAAAAUCAAAUGAACCACAGCCAAAUUAAUUAUUUGCAACUAAGAGUAAGAUUAAAAAAGACAUGUAUAACUUACUUUCUUGAUAAAAUACAUUGUAAAAUGUAAAUAUAUGUGAUUUCUGAGUAUGUAGUGCACAUAUCUUUUUAAGGCCCAAAGCAGACGUUUUUAUAUCAAUAUCAAAUCAUUUCUGGGUAACAAUUAAGUACCUUACUGUAAUAGAUUACGAUGAAAAUUGUCAAAAAUAAAUUUUUUGCAAAAACAACUUUAUCAAGCAUAAAUUUUGCUAGGACUGUCUGGGAGUGGUCAGUGUGGAGGGGAAAUUAAAACUAGCUAUUAUUGGCACUCUCUUUGUCGUUGGUCUAUAAACCAAUUUACACAUGGUGAUGUCACCAUGGAAAGCCAAAACUCUCGCCCAUGCAAACCUGCUGAUUAGAAGGUGCUGUGUAGAUGUGAGAAACUCUCUUUUCAUAUGGCACUUCAAUAUCGAAGUGAAUUUUUUGUAGCAGGUUAGGAAUCUGAGGUUAAGGUUAGGAAAAGGGUUAGGGUUAGUGAAAAUGCUCUCCAAACCUUCUACGAAAAUGACUUUGCAUUGAAGUGCUGUGAAAAGAAUGUGUCCCUGCUCAGGUGUUGCAUGCAUCAACCAAUGGUUGUGUGCCAAGUCAUCCAUUGUGUCAUCGACUGACAGAUUGCUAUAACAUAUGAUGUGGUUAGCUGACACACAAAAUACCUAUCCAGGCAGUGUAAGAUCUGGCAAAUGUCAGCAAGGCCUGGGCAGAGGAACAUGCUCCGUAUUUUCAACCAGAACUAUCAGGAAGCAACCCCGAUCACAUUUUUGUAAAACACAUUUACAGUGUUAGUUUCAUCAGCUGUUGUACAAUAUGAAAUACAAUUAUUUUGACUUCACAGGGCCUUUAAAUGUAGGCAAACAAGUUUUCAGCAUUCAAACUAAUCUACCCAGCCAGAUUCAGCACCAUGGACAGUGAAGAUCAGAAUACCUGCGAUCUGACGAUUAGAACAACAGUGCUAUUUUAAGUGAUUUUCAAGACACCCAAAGUCAAUUUAAAUCCACAACAAAAUCUGCAUGAUAAAAAGCAAUAGAAUCAAACAUUUAAAUAAGUAAACAGGCUAUAUUAUUGAAGUGCACUAAACAUAGAGACAUAUUAACCAUGGAGAACACGAAACAUGAUGACAGAUUAACCAGGGAAGUGAAUUUAACAGAGGUUAAAGCUAAAACAGCAGAAUCUGGGUACGUCUGUGUGAAGAGGUGUGGCUUUAGUGUGGAUUUGAAUAGUACACAAGUAGGCCUACGCUAUUUUUGGCCUAACUUUUUUUUAAGUGUUAUGUUUUCCCAGAUUCAUAGUGUUAUGCAGCCCAGGCCUAUCUAGGAAGGCUGGGCAUAAAUAGUUUGCUCACAGCAUCACAUGAUGACGUGGGCAACAUAAACACUUAAACUCUGUGGAUUAAAGUUAAUAGUAAUCAAAACUAAUUUCACCACGAAAGGAAGUGCAAUCGAAAUGAAUGAAGAAGACACGGUAAUUCUAGUGAGUUAAUAAAAUGACAAGGUGUUGCCUGUCAGCGUUGUAGACUACUGCCUCACAAGCCCGGGCUUUAGUGGCACUUGCAUACGCGCUUGCCUCUGCACUGAAGGAGCCACCGAACGCGUCCGCGCUGCAGCUCUCACUUUCUCCCGCUACAGUAUGUCCUACAAUGACAUAUUUGGUGGGGAUUGGCAGCCAACAAUAGGAUUGGAUUGGGACUAAAUCAAAGAAUAAAACGAUAUUGAAAUGAAUAUAAUUAGGUUGUAAUAAUUAGGUUAUUAGGUUGUUAAUUAAUUAUUAACAACCUAAGGCUGACUAGGACAGAUCAAUAAACUUGAUCCGACACAGUAAGCCUACAUGUCAUACGUAAGUAAACCCACAAGAGAGACAAUAUUGCAAAGGCAGGACCAUGUUCGAUGGAAGGCGUAGGGGUAGGCAAUCGAAAACGUUUGACGGGGAAUUUUCUGUCAAUAUUAGCUAGUCCUACUGAGUGGGCAAGUAACCUUUCCCUUCCUAAAAAUACUAUUUGUGAUGUCAUAAAGGUCUACGUUCCAUGACGUAGCAUGUAGCCCUAAAUUACAGUCCCUGCCUGCAAUAUUGUCCUCACUCUCGACCUGAACUCAAGUUGAAUGUAACCAACACAGACAAGGACAUGCUUUUUGAGAUAUAAAAUAGCUUGAAUGGAUGAAGAAAAGGUAAGCUAAAUGACUUCAUACAAUAUUGGGGGAAAGUAAAAUAGGGUAAAGCAAUCUAAGCGGAUAUUUCUUGUAAAAAGCUAUAACAUAUUGUAAAGCAAAUGUACCAUUCUUUAUAAAGUCACCAGCUUAGCUCUGAUAUGGCUGUAGCUCUAUUUAUGAUGUCCUCUGCACAGAUCUACUCUGACAUUGACAUAUUAUUACUUAUUGGAAUGUCUGUCCUUCAGGUAGCACAGAGGGAGGAUGGUGAUCCUCAGAGGGAAGGAAAGGAAGUUGUUGAGGAAGAACCGGUGGCCACGCCCAAAGAGGAGGCCAAGAAGGGAAGGAAGGCAAAAAGGAAGAGGAGUGGCAAGAAGUCAAGGAAGCUGGGCACUGACAACGAUGCAGGUCAGAGAUUUACCUCUGUAGUACUACAUUGUUUCUCUAUUCUGUCUGUGAUGUG